Molecule: ribosomal RNA, 253 nt
Filed under: uncultured bacterium
Lineage: Bacteria
Description: partial 16S ribosomal RNA
Rfam family: Bacterial small subunit ribosomal RNA
Source: RNAcentral
UACGAAGGGGCUAGCGUUGUUCGGAAUUACUGGGCGUAAAGCGUGCGCAGGCGGUUCUCCAAGUCAGUGGUGAAAGCCCGGAGCUCAACUCCGGAACUGCCCAUUGAAACUGUAGAGCUAGAGUACGAGAGAGGUGAGUGGAAUUCCCAGUGUAGAGGUGAAAUUCGUAGAUAUUGGGAAGAACACCGGUGGCGAAGGCGGCUCACUGGCUCGUAACUGACGCUCAUGCACGACAGCGUGGGUAGCAAACAGG